RNAcentral lists this ribosomal RNA (253 nucleotides) under uncultured bacterium. RNAcentral describes it as "partial 16S ribosomal RNA". It matches the Rfam family "Bacterial small subunit ribosomal RNA", at positions 524 to 776 of the family's 1533-position model. The record is from RNAcentral.
UACGUAGGGUGCAAGCGUUGUCCGGAAUUAUUGGGCGUAAAGAGCUUGUAGGCGGUUUGUCGCGUCUGCUGUGAAAUUUCGGGGCUCAACCCCGAACUUGCAGUGGGUACGGGCAGGCUAGAGUGUGGUAGGGGAGACUGGAAUUCCUGGUGUAGCGGUGAAAUGCGCAGAUAUCAGGAGGAACACCGAUGGCGAAGGCAGGUCUCUGGGCCAUAACGGACGCUGAGAAGCGAAAGCAUGGGGAGCGAACAGG